RNAcentral lists this ribosomal RNA (247 nucleotides) under uncultured bacterium. RNAcentral describes it as "partial 16S ribosomal RNA". It matches the Rfam family "Bacterial small subunit ribosomal RNA", at positions 57 to 305 of the family's 1533-position model. The record is from RNAcentral.
GCAAGUCGAACGGAGAUAAUUAUUAGUUUACUAAAAAUUAUCUUAGUGGCGGACGGGUUAGUAACACGUGAGCAACUUACCUCAAAGUGGGGAAUAGCCUUCCGAAAGGAAGAUUAAUACCGCAUGUGAUCUUCGGAUCAAAGACUGCUUCGGCAGUCGCUUUGAGAUAGGCUCGCGUCCUAUCAGCUAGUUGGUGAGGUAAUGGCUCACCAAGGCUACGACGGGUAGCUGUUCUGAGAGGAAGAUC